GGCACGCGAGCUGGGUUUAGAACGUCGUGAGACAGUUCGGUCCCUAUCUGCCGUGGACGUUGGAGAUUUGAGGAAAGCUGCUCCUAGUACGAGAGGACCGGAGUGGACGAACCGCUGGUGUUCGGGUUGUGUCGCCAGACGCAUUGCCCGGUAGCUAUGUUCGGAUAGGAUAACCGCUGAAAGCAUCUAAGCGGGAAGCCCCUUCCAAGAUGAGAUCUCCCUGGACCCUUGAGGUCCCUGAAGAGCCGUUCAAGACCAGGACGUUGAUAGGUCGGGUGUGUAAGCGCUGCGAGGCGUUGAGCUAACCGAUACUAAUUGCUCGUGAGGCUUG
RNAcentral lists this ribosomal RNA (331 nucleotides) under Ochromonas sp. CCMP1393. RNAcentral describes it as "partial Bacterial large subunit ribosomal RNA". It matches the Rfam family "Bacterial large subunit ribosomal RNA", at positions 2595 to 2925 of the family's 2925-position model. The record is from RNAcentral. Lineage: Eukaryota; Chrysophyceae; Chromulinales; Chromulinaceae.